CAACAAUUUAAUUUUUGAAUUUGGAAGAAUGUUUCGUGGCAGCGUCAUCAGUAAAUCAAUCAUCUUUGUACAAGUUCAGCACGCCCUAAACUUCAAUUAAUCACAUCAUGGUUGGAAAUUUUAUGCUUCAUAUGUAAGAUCAAUGGUUACUAUUGCGGAGACCAGAGAUUAUGAUUGGCAUCUAAUUGUGCUCUAGACAGCCAAAGAAACUCUUCUUCUGUUGUAUAUGCCCUGUAUCAGCCCUGAAAAAUGAAUUGAUGUAAUCCGGAUUUUCCUCUCUCUUAGCAGGUGUAGAUGUGAUAAUUUAUGAUGUUUGGUGCUUAUUUUUGUGAUUUAUGGUUGGGGUAAGUGAUUUCAAGGGAGAAGACUGAAACAUCACUAUUUCCAUGUAGAGAAAAUAGGUUUACUUGCAUAUACAUAGCAGGCUGUUCUCAAUAAGUUGUGCGGGAGCUAAGAGCAUGAAGUCCGAUAGAAAUAUGCUAGGUGAAGGUUGCAAGUGGCUUAUAUUCUACUCAACUUUUUGCAGUUAUAUAUUGAAGAUGAGAAGGAUAAUGUCCAGUUGACGUGCACCAUUUAACUUUUGUUGGAAGCAAAUAGUGAAUUUUCGUUCAUGAGGUUUCGGGAAAUGCUGGGUACAAGGAGGAUGGAGGAAUAUUGAACGAGGUCUCAAAUCUGGCACAAACUACUCAACAACUGUUGACAAAUGGUCAACUGUUAUGAAGUUCUGCAACAAAGAAUGCUCCGAGACUUAAGUUAUGCGAGUUGGUAUAGUACAACUUCGGAAAAUUAGCUUCAUGCUUUAAUGGUAUGGUAAUGUAUUGCAUAUGAGCUGGUUGAUAAUUACAUGUUGGUUAGUAUUCAAUAAUGUUGCUUUAAAUAGGUGGAUGUUGAUAUUCCGUAGAAGAAACAACGUCGACCAAACUCCUAAUACACCUAGCUAGAUAUGCUCAGUUCAGUUUGGAUGAGGUGAACUGAAUGUACAAAAUAAGCUUACUGUUUGAAAAGCUAGGUAAAGACAUCUUUCUCUCCAAUUUUGUCAAUAUCAGAAGAUCAUUUAACUUAUGGACAGGAAAAUUGUUGAAUGGUCGAGGGCUGAUGUUUAGGUCGAGAUAUUCUAAUAGAUUUUGUAUCAAAUUUCUUCAAAUUAAUGUAAGAAAUAAUUUGCAUGGCUAACAAUUGUCUUAACAGGUUUAUUCAUAGGAUGCACGACAGAUAUUUCAGGUCCCACAAAGUGAAGAUAAUUCAAAAUGGGGCUCCAUUGAUUCAUACUUGAGGAGAAGACACAUAUAAACUGAUGCACUGCUUAUAUAUCCUAAAAUUCGAGCUUCCGGUAUCAAAUGAAGUUGAGUAAGUUGCAUUAACUUUUAACUGUUUGCUUAAGUUCCAGGAAAAUAAGAACAUAUUUGAAGUGUAGCCAGUACUUAGUAGGCUCAAAGCCUCUUUUUGGUCGAACGUUCUCAUUGGUAGUUCUGGCAACUACUUAAUUCUUUUCCUACCUAUAUAAUUUAUAUUGGCUGCUUAUAUCUAACUAACUGGGAUAUUUUACGGACACCAUGAUUGUGACAUGUACUUUAAGGCACGAUAAAGGAAUGAUCGGCGUCCUUAAACAUGACUUUUAACGAAAAAGCUCUAAACCCAUUUCUUAUCUCAUCUUUGUUUCCGAUUAAAUGUGUAUAAUAUGCUUUACGGACGCAAGGUUGAGCAAAGAUAAUUAGGUAGCUGGAUGAUUAAAUUAGGCAUGGAAUGGUAAUGGAAUGUGACCAACUUUUAAAAAUGUUAGGUCAUUAUGUUUGAUCUAACGCCAUUACAUAGGUAGUUCUUUUUCUUAAUCAACUACAGCCUAUGCAAUCCAAUGCCAUAUCCAUUUCCUAGGGCCUCAUGUUGGGGAUUCAUAUCUAAAUAUUUAGAUGAUCAGCAUCAAAAAUGUUUGCAAGUGCGUGUUCCAGCUGCAGACCAGGGAAAUACUUACUCAUUAUAAAAAUUCUAAGCAUUGACAAGUAUUGCAUGGACUGGUGAGAAUUCCAAGGACCUCUAAAUAAUGUAAGGUAUAACUCAUAUUUAUGGCAUCAGUUAUGGCAUAGAUGAAGCCGCCACAACGGGUAGUGAUGUACGCCGCAUUGACUUUAUUGGUGCAUCUGAUCAUGGCUCUUCAUUUAGAGAAUCAACAACUCUAUAAAAAUUGUGAUGUGAAUCCACAAGAUAUAUUUUGGAAGGUCCAUUGGUAUAUGGUUAGGGGAAACUGGUACCGAGGAUCGCAGAUGCUCUAUAUUUGCACAUUGAUAAUGAAGCUAUUAGCUAUUGUCUAUUUUUCUAGAAGGAAGGUCCACUUAAAACUCUCAACUUGCAUUCCGCUGAUUUUCUUGGGUAUAUUCCCUAUCUAAAGAUUGCUUCAUUGAUACAUGCCUCCUUUUUGUUUACUGCCGUUGAAAGUACUAUGAUAGCAUCAUAUUGGACUUCUUUGUAGGUGGAAAUGAUUAUCAUGUUACAUUACUGAUGGGAUUAUCUGUUAAAUAUCUGGUAAGAUCUGAGUUCCGCUCUCCUCCUCUCUUUCUUCAUCUUCUCAAAUUUUGCUCCUGCUUUUGGGUUACGAGCUAGAGUUUUUAUGAAGAUCUCUUUUAAGAUUUACAGCCGUACUGACGGAAACCUAGUCUACUUUUAAGAAGAAGAAGAACAAGAUGGUGCAUCAUUAUGAUUUACGUGGAGAAUAUUUGUUUUCUGUUUCCAGUACUGGAAUUGGAUAUGGAGAUGAUCUGGAGCUGCAGUUCAGAACUUAUUGCAAG
Molecule: long non-coding RNA, 2780 nt
Organism: Papaver somniferum (opium poppy)
Lineage: Eukaryota; Viridiplantae; Streptophyta; Magnoliopsida; Ranunculales; Papaveraceae
Exons: 11
Source: RefSeq, a predicted model, not a curated record